Molecule: ribosomal RNA, 494 nt
Filed under: uncultured bacterium
Lineage: Bacteria
Description: partial 16S ribosomal RNA
Rfam family: Bacterial small subunit ribosomal RNA
Source: RNAcentral
GACGAACGCUGGCGGCGUGCUUAACACAUGCAAGUCGAACGGAAAGGCCUGCUUUCCCUUGUGGAUUGCGGGUACUCGAGUGGCGAACGGGUGAGUAACACGUGAGUGACCUGCCCCCAACUUGGGUAUAAGCCUGGGAAACUGGGUCUAAUUCCCGAUAGGACUGCAGGGUGGUGCCUGUGGUGGAAAACGAUUUUCUAGUGGUUGGGGAUGAGCUCGCGGCCUAUCAGCUUGUUGGUGGGGUAAUGGCCUACCAAGGCGGCGACGGGUAGCCGGCCUGAGAGGGUGGACGGCCACAUUGGGACUGAGAUACGGCCCAGACUCCUACGGGAGGCAGCAGUGGGGAAUAUUGCACAAUGGGCGGAAGCCUGAUGCAGCGACGCCGCGUGGGGGAUGACGGCCUUCGGGUUGUAAACUCCUUUCGACCGCGAGGAAGCCACCUGGUUGGAAGGGUGGUGACGGUAGUGGUAGAAGAAGCACCGGCUAACUACGUG